UACAGAGGUCUCAAGCGUUGUUCGGAUUCAUUGGGCGUAAAGAGCUCGUAGGCGGUUGGGUAAGUCGGGUGUGAAAACUCAGGGCUCAACUCUGAGACGCCACUCGAUACUGCCCUGACUCGAGUCCGGUAGGGGAGCGUGGAAUUCCCGGUGUAGCGGUGAAAUGCGCAGAUAUCGGGAGGAACACCAGUGGCGAAGGCGGCGCUCUGGGCCGGAACUGACGCUGAGGAGCGAAAGCGUGGGUAGCAAACAGG
This 254-nucleotide ribosomal RNA is filed under the name uncultured bacterium. Its description in RNAcentral is "partial 16S ribosomal RNA". It matches the Rfam family "Bacterial small subunit ribosomal RNA", at positions 524 to 776 of the family's 1533-position model. The record is from RNAcentral.